AUGGCGGUUCCAAGCAUGGACGUCAAACAAUCAAUCGAGGAAGAGGCCGGAUUUGUUCUUCUGUGGGACGACUACUUCAAAGAAGUUCCUCGCUAUCCCGAACAUUUGUUUCGACGAAGAUUUAGGAUGUCCCGUAAUUUGUUCAAACGCAUAGCCGAUGGUAUACUUGAGCAUGAUUAUGAUGGUUAUUUUACUCAAAAAAUAAGUGCUUCUGGAGCUCUUGGGUUACAUCCUCUGCAAAAGAUGACCGCGGCAAUGCGGAUGCUAACAUAUGGAAUAGCAGCUGAUGGUGCUGAUGAGUACAUCCGGUCCGCUGAGGCUACUAAUUUAGAGUCUUGCAAGAAAUUUGUGAUCAAAGUUUGUGAAGUUUUUGGGGAAAGGUACCUGAGAUCUCCAAAUGAAGAAGACAUUGCUAGGUUACUUGCAAUAGGGGAGGAAAGAGGAUUUCCUGGUAUGUUAGGGAGCAUAGAUUGCAUGCACUGGGGUUGGAAAAAUUGCCCCAAAAAAACUGCAGUUGCUUCACAAGAUCUUUGGAUUUGGCAUCUAGCU
This 549-nucleotide ribosomal RNA is filed under the name Triticum aestivum (bread wheat). Its description in RNAcentral is "partial small subunit ribosomal RNA". Lineage: Eukaryota; Viridiplantae; Streptophyta; Magnoliopsida; Poales; Poaceae. The record is from RNAcentral.